GGCGGCCGCCUUUGUGACGCGCCGCCGUCCGCGGGCCUCCGCUCGUACCACCACCCCCUCGGGGCGCAGGGCGCCGGGGCCCAAACCUGGGGUCGUCAGAGCCGGCGACCGUGCGUGGAGAGGGCAGGACCGGCCCGGCGCGGAGUGUCCCAGAAGGCUUGCGGGCCGGGGCGGAGGGCGGAGGAGCCGAGGGACAAGCCUGGGUCUCCCAAGGUGUCCGGACUGUGGGGCCCCAGAUGUUUGAUCCAGAUGCCCAACGCCUGGGAUUCUCCGGCCGAAGAGCUGGAGCCCUUUUUUCUCCUGGUUUGUCUGUAGCUUUCCGGCAUACCUACAUCUCUGUUCAAAAGAAGGAAAACAGUUAAAGUCCAACCUUUUCUUCUAAAAGGAAGAAACCUAAAGAAGAAAUCCCAUCUCUUCUCACGAGUAAAGACCGCCACAGAGAGUCUGCAGGAAGACCCGUGGAAAGAGACGUCUUUUCUAUCGGUAGUAACGGGUGGACAAAAGUAUGGAAAGAAGUGACAAAUUGUGGAUGGCAAGGGUGCAUGGUACCAAUCCCCCCACCAAGAAUGAAGUUCGUCCAUCUUUGUGAAAUGAUAUGUUCGUGUGCCUUUGGAGACACCUUACAGAAGACAUCCAGUGUGGAGCUGACGGGCAUAAGCUUUGGAACUAUGUCCACGUAGAUUUCACGCUGGAUUCGGCCACUCUCUCGUUGUGUCCCCCGGGGGGCUCCCGGUCCACGCUGCCUAGUUUCCUCAUCUGUGAAACAGGAAUAAAAUACCCGCCUGUUGUUCCUAAUGAAGAUGAACCAUUUAUAAAGAACUCCAUG
Long non-coding RNA from Zalophus californianus (California sea lion), 826 nucleotides. RefSeq lists it as uncharacterized. The transcript has 4 exons. The record is from RefSeq and is a predicted model, not a curated record. Lineage: Eukaryota; Metazoa; Chordata; Mammalia; Carnivora; Otariidae.